CGCCAGCUGCGGUGUUCGAGGAAGGCCGGGAAUCCUCUCGACCCUAAUUACUAACCUCGGGGCCGAAUCCUGUGGAUGCCAGUGUGCAGACCCGGCAAGUCCGGGUAGCCUGGAGCACCACGGUAGACCCCACUUAUUGCUCUGGCUCGAGAGCAAUGGUCAUAGACGGCACAUGCGGCGGCGC
Molecule: non-coding RNA, 184 nt
Filed under: Gammaproteobacteria bacterium
Lineage: Bacteria; Pseudomonadati; Pseudomonadota; Gammaproteobacteria
Description: 6S RNA
Rfam family: 6S / SsrS RNA
About the family: E. coli 6S RNA was the first non coding RNA to be sequenced, but its function was unknown until recently. It consists of 184 nucleotides that fold into an extended hairpin structure with a large single-stranded internal bulge.
Source: RNAcentral